Molecule: long non-coding RNA, 1230 nt
Organism: Suricata suricatta (meerkat)
Lineage: Eukaryota; Metazoa; Chordata; Mammalia; Carnivora; Herpestidae
Exons: 6
Source: RefSeq, a predicted model, not a curated record
CGGAUCUAGCAGCAGUUGAACAUUUUGUCCUAAAGAAAGUAAAACCGAAAGCUAUCCAGUUGUGGCUGACUGACGUCAGGCACUGUGGAAGCCUUAGAAAGAAAAAUAUUUAGGGAAAGAAUUCUUUAUGAAAACACAUAGGAUACUUACCUCCACUCAUUGAGUAGAAGACAACAGAGACAGAUACCAGUGGAAAGGUCUUACCAAAUGAACAUAAUUCAGCUCAAACAAUCCAGUGUGUUGCUGAAGGGACUCAACUAAGAAAAAUCUACCUGCUAGUGAAGCUGGAAGGAAUGAUGUGAAUCAUGCCCAGUCUACUGGUGGAGUCUAAAUUUCUCAAUGUGGCCUAAGAACCACCCUCUCUCCUCCCCCCAAAAAUCUAUCUUCUCUGGCCAUACUGAACAAAUUGCAGUUCUCUGGGACUAUGUCACUACCUCAGAGAACCAUAAAAGAAUGCCUGUUUGGACACUGUCCACACAAACAAUAUUCCUAUCAGUGACUAGCAUAAUUACAGAAAAGGGAGCCUGGAGAUCCAAAUAUGAGCAUGGUACACAAGGAGGAAUGAGCAAGAAAGGAACUGUGAGUGGUGACGAAGCCCAGGAAAGGAAGAGAUGCUGCUGAACCAGCGUGGAUCCAGCUCUAAUGGAAGGCAAAGGGGAUCUCAAGUCUCUGUACGAACACCAAGCAAGCUGUGGUCUCAAGUCAUUACAGUCCUAGAAUGGCUUCAUAUGCUGCACUACGUAUUCGCUAGAUAUUUCUCAUCCCACCUCACAAGAGCAGCCAAAGAGGAUUUCUACAGAGGAGGAACACUGUGCCGGCCUGACACCCUCCUCCCACAGUUUCAGCACAGAUGUAGCUCAUCACACUGUCCUCCCUGAGCACAACUUCUCAGCUGGCUCUGGACUCCACUGGCCCAUCUCUACUGCUUACCCCCCCUCCACCGCCCCGGUUUUUGAAUUUGCCAUUUUCUCUUUCCUAAUGCCUCCAUUGGUCUUAUUUCUAUUUCUUCUUCAAGUCCACCCUCUGUCUCCCGUGUUUUCAAUUUAAUAACCUUAUGCAUUUCAAGUUUUCAGCAUGGUACUUCCAGUUCCGAAAUCUAAUGAAGAAAAAUAAAUAUGGUAUGAUUCAGAUUUAUGGAAUGUAUUGCAUAGGGAACCCACCUGCAAAGCUUACUUGUUAUCCCUCCCAGACAGGGUCACUGAUUUCCUCCUUCCCCCACCCCCCACCUCU